GCUCAGGACGAACGCCAGCGGCGUGCCUAAUGUAUGCAAGUCGAGCGGGGAAGAGACUUCGGUCUCUUUCUAGCGGCAAACGGUUGAGUAACACGUAGGCAACCUGCCCCAGAGACGGGGAUAGCCCGCCGAAAGGCGGCGUAAUACCGGAUGUGGCGCGAGGCGACAUCGCCUCGCUGCUAAAGGGAGCAAUCCGCUCUGGGAGGGGCCUGCGGCCUAUCAGCUUGUUGGCGAGGUAACGGCUCACCAAGGCGACGACGGGUAGCUGGUCUGAGAGGAUGGUCAGCCAGACAGGGACUGAGACACGGCCCUGACUCCUUCGGGGGGCAGCACUGAGGGAUAUUGCACAAUGGGGGAAACCCUGAUGCAGCGACGCCGCGUGGGUGAUGAAGUCUUUCGGGAUGUAAAGCCCUUUUCUCGGGGAAGAGAACGGACGGUACCCGAGGAAUAAGCCCCGGCUAAAUACGUCCCAGCAGCCGCGGUAAUAAGUAGGGGGCCAGCGUUGUCUGGAUUUACCGGGCGUAAAGCGCGUGUCGGCGGGACGGACAGUCCGACGUGAAAGGCUCCGGCUCAACCGGAGACGGCUGUUGGAAACUGCCGUUCUUGAGGACCGAAGAGGAGAGUGGAAUUCCCGGUGUAGCGUUGAAAUGCGUAGAGAUCGGGAGGAACACCCGUGGCGAAGGCGGCUCUAUGGUCGGUCCCUGACGAUGAGACGCGAAAGCGUGGGGAGCGAACGGGAUUAGAUACCCCGGUAGUCCACGCCGUAAACGAUGGUCACUAGGUGUAUGCGGUAUCGACCCCGCAUGGGCCGCAGCUAACGCAAUAAGUGACCC
This 833-nucleotide ribosomal RNA is filed under the name uncultured bacterium. RNAcentral describes it as "bacterial SSU rRNA". It matches the Rfam family "Bacterial small subunit ribosomal RNA", at positions 22 to 870 of the family's 1533-position model. The record is from RNAcentral.